RNAcentral lists this ribosomal RNA (211 nucleotides) under Klebsiella michiganensis. RNAcentral's name for it is "partial 16S ribosomal RNA". It matches the Rfam family "Bacterial small subunit ribosomal RNA", at positions 1 to 221 of the family's 1533-position model. Lineage: Bacteria; Pseudomonadati; Pseudomonadota; Gammaproteobacteria; Enterobacterales; Enterobacteriaceae. The record is from RNAcentral.
AAAUUGAAGAGUUUGAUCAUGGCUCAGAUUGAACGCUGGCGGCAGGCCUAACACAUGCAAGUCGAACGGUAGCACAGAGAGCUUGCUCUCGGGUGACGAGUGGCGGACGGGUGAGUAAUGUCUGGGAAACUGCCUGAUGGAGGGGGAUAACUACUGGAAACGGUAGCUAAUACCGCAUAACGUCGCAAGACCAAAGAGGGGGACUUUCGGG